RNAcentral lists this ribosomal RNA (397 nucleotides) under uncultured bacterium. RNAcentral's name for it is "partial 16S ribosomal RNA". It matches the Rfam family "Bacterial small subunit ribosomal RNA", at positions 523 to 918 of the family's 1533-position model. The record is from RNAcentral.
AUACGUAGGGGGUGAGCGUUGUCCGGAAUGAUUGGGCGUAAAGGGCGCGUAGGCGGCCCGGUAAGUCUGGAGUGAAAGUCCUGUUUUUAAGAUGGGAAUUGCUUUGGAUACUGUCGGGCUUGAGUGCAGGAGAGGUAAGUGGAAUUCCCAGUGUAGCGGUGAAAUGCGUAGAGAUUGGGAGGAACACCAGUGGCGAAGGCGACUUACUGGACUGUAACUGACGCUGAGGCGCGAAAGUGUGGGGAGCAAACAGGAUUAGAUACCCUGGUAGUCCACACUGUAAACGAUGAAUGCUAGGUGUAGGGGGUAUCGACCCCUUCUGUGCCGCAGUCAACACAAUAAGCAUUCCGCCUGGGGAGUACGGCCGCAAGGUUGAAACUCAAAUGAAUUGACGGGG